This 1037-nucleotide ribosomal RNA is filed under the name uncultured bacterium. RNAcentral describes it as "bacterial SSU rRNA". It matches the Rfam family "Bacterial small subunit ribosomal RNA", at positions 347 to 1387 of the family's 1533-position model. The record is from RNAcentral.
GGCAGCAGUGAGGAAUAUUGGUCAAUGGGCGAGAGCCUGAACCAGCCAAGUAGCGUGAAGGAUGACUGCCCUAUGGGUUGUAAACUUCUUUUAUAAAGGAAUAAAGUCGGGUAUGUAUACCCGUUUGCAUGUACUUUAUGAAUAAGGAUCGGCUAACUCCGUGCCAGCAGCCGCGGUAAUACGGAGGAUCCGAGCGUUAUCCGGAUUUAUUGGGUUUAAAGGGAGCGUAGAUGGAUGUUUAAGUCAGUUGUGAAAGUUUGCGGCUCAACCGUAAAAUUGCAGUUGAUACUGGAUAUCUUGAGUGCAGUUGAGGCAGGCGGAAUUCGUGGUGUAGCGGUGAAAUGCUUAGAUAUCACGAAGAACUCCGAUUGCGAAGGCAGCCUGCUAAGCUGCAACUGACAUUGAGGCUCGAAAGUGUGGGUAUCAAACAGGAUUAGAUACCCUGGUAGUCCACACGGUAAACGAUGAAUACUCGCUGUUUGCGAUAUACGGCAAGCGGCCAAGCGAAAGCGUUAAGUAUUCCACCUGGGGAGUACGCCGGCAACGGUGAAACUCAAAGGAAUUGACGGGGGCCCGCACAAGCGGAGGAACAUGUGGUUUAAUUCGAUGAUACGCGAGGAACCUUACCCGGGCUUAAAUUGCAGAUGAAUUACGGUGAAAGCCGUAAGCCGCAAGGCAUCUGUGAAGGUGCUGCAUGGUUGUCGUCAGCUCGUGCCGUGAGGUGUCGGCUUAAGUGCCAUAACGAGCGCAACCCUUGUUGUCAGUUACUAACAGGUUCCGCUGAGGACUCUGACAAGACUGCCAUCGUAAGAUGUGAGGAAGGUGGGGAGGACGUCAAAUCAGCACGGCCCUUACGUCCGGGGCUACACACGUGUUACAAUGGGGGGUACAGAGGGCCGCUACCACGCGAGUGGAUGCCAAUCCCAAAAACCUCUCUCAGUUCGGACUGGAGUCUGCAACCCGACUCCACGAAGCUGGAUUCGCUAGUAAUCGCGCAUCAGCCACGGCGCGGUGAAUAAAUUCCCGGGCCUUGCACU